This 1117-nucleotide unclassified non-coding RNA is filed under the name Hevea brasiliensis (rubber tree). The record is from RNAcentral. Lineage: Eukaryota; Viridiplantae; Streptophyta; Magnoliopsida; Malpighiales; Euphorbiaceae.
UUUUUUUAACAAAUUGUGCUCUGCCCUAAUUGCAAUUGAACUUAAGAAUGCAGAACAUAAGCAUUGUUGAGCAAUACAUCAUAGAAACCAGGCAUGGACUAGUGGCGUGAGACAGCCAAAGCCACAAGUUCCCCUCUCUUAAUUUUUGUCAAUAAGAUCAUAUAAUGAAUUGAGAAAAAGUAAGAAACAAAAUUAUCCAAGCUCUCAAAGCAAACAUUAGCUUUGAACUUCGAUGCAUCCUGGAAAUGUUAAAAGCCUUGACCAGAAGAAAUAAGAGGACAUGGGUAAGGGAGGUUUUUUAUAGAUUUAGAAGUCAUGCCUCUAGGCAACUGUGGAGGAUUGAUGUAGUUUAUACUUUUCAACAGAUAUUGCUGCACUAUACCCUCAAGAGAGUUCUAAAUGAGUUUCAAUCCAGCCACUUACAAGCAAGUGAAAUGAGCUACCUUCCCAUGUGGCAAACUGUAAGGAGAGCUAAGCUUCAUAAACGAGACACAAUCCUGCAUGGGAUGUACUGCCAGGUGCAGUACUUUUCCUCUAUUUAAACUAUGGGGCAGGUUAAUUAGACAGAAGAUGGUACACUGUUAAUUCAUUUGAUCCUAACUCCGAGCAGUAUUUCCAGUAAAUAUCCCUGUCAUCAAUUCUGCAACAGAAACAUAUAGAAUACUUUUUUUUUAAGAAAAAAAAAAUCUCUAGUAUUGAAAGUUGAAGAAAUUUUGUUACAACAGAAAACACAUUGAAGUUAUUCCACCACUAUUAUCAAUUAGAAAGGAAGACGGGAGCUCCUGUAAAUUGGCAUGAUCUUGUAUCUGUAAAAACUUAGAAUAUCAUAUCAAAUUUAAUAGCUUACAACAACUGAAAUAUGUUGAACUAUCAAACACUGGCUCACAACAAUUGGAAUCUGCAGUAAUGACUUCUCAAAGAGAGCAGAACAAAAAUGGAUGAGAAAAAUCUCACCAUAAACAAAUGUGGCAAGACUACAAGUAGCAGAACCUAUAAACACAUUGAUGGUGAAGAAAACAGGGCCAGAGACCAACUAAUUAUGAGUAUCUUGCUCCAUGGACAUAGGGAAUGGAACUUUAAUGGACUAUUCAAGAACAAGUUACCGCAUUAAAAUUAG